GAGUACGCGUUGGUGACCUACCCCGAAGUGUGGGAUAACAGUCCGAAAGGAUUGCUAAUACCGCAUGUGGUCCCCGGGCUUAGAAACCGGUGACUAAAGCAGCAAUGCGCUUUGGGAGGGACCUGCGUCCCAUCAGCUAGUUGGUGAGGUAACGGCUCACCAAGGCGUCGACGGGUAAGGGACCUGAGAGGGUGGUCCCUCACAAUGGCACUGAAACACGGGCCAUACACCUACGGGUGGCAGCAGUAGGGAAUAUUGGGCAAUGGGCGAAAGCCUGACCCAGCAACGCCGCGUGUACGAUGAAGGUCUUCGGAUCGUAAAGUACUUUUCUGGGAGAUGAGGAAGGACAGUACCUUCUGAAUAAGCCUCGGCUAACUACGUGCCAGCAGCCGCGGUAAAACGUAGGAGGCGAGCGUUAUCCGGAUUUACUGGGCGUAAAGCGCGUGCAGGCGGUUCGGUAAGUUGGAUGUGAAAGCUCCUGGCUUAACUGGGAGAGGUCGUUCAAUACUACCGGGCUUGAGUAUGGGAGAGGGAGGUGGAAUUCCGGGUGUAGUGGUGAAAUGCGUAGAUAUCCGGAGGAACACCAGUGGCGAAAGCGGCUCCUGGCCCAUUACUGACGCUCAGACGCGAAGGCUAAGGGAGCGAACGGGAUUAGAGACCCCGGUAGUCUUAGCUGUAAACUAUGUGGACUUGGCGUCGCGGGUUCAAAUCCGUCGGUGCCGUAGCUAACGCGAUAAGUCCACCGCCUGGGGACUACCGCCGCAAGGUUUAAACUCAAAGGAAUUGACGGGGGCCCGCACAAGCAGCGGAGCGUGUGGUUUAAUUCGAUGUUACACGAAGAACCUUACCAGGGUUUGACAUACAGGUGGUAGGGAAACGAAAGUGGACCGACCCUUCGGGGAGCCUGUACAGGUGCUGCAUGGCUGUCGUCAGCUCGUGUCGUGAGAUGUUCGGUUAAGUCCGCUAACGAGCGCAACCCUCCUGUGUGUUACAUGUGUCACACGGGACUGCCGGUCUUAAGCCGGAGGAAGGUGGGGAUGACGUCAAGUCAGCAUGGCCUUAUGCUGGGCUACACACACGCUACAAUGGCCAACACAUAGGUCGCGAAGUCGCGAGGCGAAGCCAAUCCUCAAAGUUGUCUCAGUUCAGAUUGCAGGCU
RNAcentral lists this ribosomal RNA (1159 nucleotides) under uncultured bacterium. Its description in RNAcentral is "bacterial SSU rRNA". It matches the Rfam family "Bacterial small subunit ribosomal RNA", at positions 108 to 1306 of the family's 1533-position model. The record is from RNAcentral.